AGUGAGACGGGUGAUUGAAAUGCUGAAGCAUGAGCUUGAGCUCACUAUGGCCCUUUCUGGCUGUCCUAGUUUGAAAGAUAUUACGAGGAGUCAUGUGAAAACUGAGAGUGAGAGAUUCCAAUCCAUGCUUUAAUAUUCUUUUGAAGUAUCCUCUAAUGGUUUCAGAAAAUCAAUAAUGGUUCUCUGAACCACAAGAUAUGAGCUUAAUGUAUAUAGGCUGUUCUCAGCAGUGAACUCAACUUCCAUAUCUGUUUAAUUUCAAAU
RNAcentral lists this unclassified non-coding RNA (264 nucleotides) under Hevea brasiliensis (rubber tree). Lineage: Eukaryota; Viridiplantae; Streptophyta; Magnoliopsida; Malpighiales; Euphorbiaceae. The record is from RNAcentral.